CGCAUGCGCCUUGUCCCCUCCGGCCCGGGGCGGGGGAUGCGGACGGGGGAAGAUGGCGGCCUCGAACAACCCGCGGAAAUUCAGCGAGAAGAUCGCGCUGCACAACCAGAAGCAGGCGGAGGAGACGGCGGCUUUCGAGGAGGUGAUGAAGGACCUGAGCCUGACCCGGGCCCACAGGUUACAAUUACAGAAAACACAGUAUUUGCAGUUGGGACAGAGUCGUGGCCAGUACUAUGGAGGGUCACUGCCGAAUGUGAAUCAGAUUGGGAACAGUGCCAUGGACCUGCCUUUCCAGACUCCUUUUCAGUCAUCUGGACUGGAUACAAGUAGGACAACUCGGCAUCAUGGUCUGGUGGACAGAGUGUAUCGUGACAGAAACCGCCUUGGGUCACCACACCGGCGUCCGCUGUCUGUGGAUAAACAUGGAAGGCAGGUGGACAGUUGUCCAUAUGGCACUGUGUAUCUGUCGCCUCCAUCGGAUACAAGCUGGAGAAGGACCAAUUCAGAUUCUGCCUUGCAUCAAAGUACAAUCACCCCAACUCAACAAGAGUCCUUUUCAGGAGGGUCACAAGACAUGCAGCAAAAAAGAGUCUUAUUAUUGACAGUCCCUGGAAUGGAGGAAAGCACAUCUGAAACAGACAAAGCCCUCUCUAAACAAGCAUGGGACACUAAAAAGACAGGGUCUUCGAGGCCUAAAUCAUGUGAAGUUCCAGGAAUCAACAUCUUUCCAUCAGCUGACCAGGAAAACACUACAACGCUGAUUCCAGCUGCACAUAACACAGGUGGCUCUCUGCCAGACCUGACAAACAUCCAUUUCCCUUCUCCUCUUCCAACACCACUAGAUCCUGAGGAAUCCACAUUCCCAUCCCUGAGUGGCUCGAAUAGCACCGGAAAUCUUGCAGCCAACUUGACUCACUUGGGCAUCAGCACUGCCAGUCAGGGAAUGACAACAACGCAAGCCUCCUCCCGGCAGCCAGCUGUCAGUCCCCUCUCACUGAAUGCAGACUCCAGACGACCACAGUCCCAGCAGAUGUCUCCUACCCUUUCACCUCUGUCACCAAUUACUCAGGCUGUGGCUAUGGAUGCAUUGUCUUUGGAACAGCAGCUUCCACCGUAUCAGUUUUUUACCCAGACUAGUUCCCAGCAACAGCAACAGACCCAAGUGGCAAGUAGUCUGCCUCAGAAUACCCCUUUAAUGCAGACUUCUGGCUUACAGCGAGGAUCACAGCUUCCCCCUCUCUCAGUCACAGUGCCAUCUACCAUCCCACAGUCACCUCCAGGCAGCCAGACCCAACCUUCUAUGGGCAUAGACAUCAACUCGGCUUCACUCCAGCAGUACCGCAGUAAUGCUGGAUCCCCAGCCAACCAGUCUCCCACCUCUCCUGUCUCCAAUCAAGGCUUCUCUCCUGGCAGCUCCCCUCAACAUUCUUCCAUUCUGGGGAGUGUAUUUGGUGACUCCUAUUAUGAUCAGCAGAUGACAGCUAGGCAGGCUAAUGCCCUAUCCCAUCAGCUUGAACAGUUUAAUAUGAUAGAAAACGCCAUUAGUUCCAACAGCCUAUACAGCCCCUGCUCCACCCUUAACUACUCCCAGGCAGCCAUGAUGGGACUUACUGGGAGCCAUGGCAACUUGCAGGACUCUCAACAGCUGAACUACUCCAGCCAUGGAAACAUCCCCAACAUCAUCCUGACAGUGACAGGAGAAUCUCCUCCCAGCUUAUCAAAGGAACUGACCAGCUCUUUGGCAGGUGUCGGAGAUGUCAGCUUUGAUUCGGAUUCCCAAUUCCCUCUGGAUGAACUCAAAAUUGACCCUUUAACCUUGGAUGGACUGCACAUGCUUAAUGACCCAGAUAUGGUCCUCACCGAUCCUGCCACAGAGGACACUUUCAGGAUGGACCGGCUGUAGACUGAGGACACCAUGAGCCUGGGAAUAAAAUUAGUUCCUGGAGCCCAGCUGAACUGAAGAGUCCAAUGGGUUUGUUUCCUUGACUGUUGUCCAGCACCCACUGCCUGUUCGUAUGCCCUGAGCAAACUCGUGUACUUGGCAAAGCAGGAAAGCGGCCUGGCAGCCCAGUGGGCUCUCGGUAGCCGGUUAUCCAAAAAAGCAACUGUAAACACUAUUUCCAGAGCCUUUUUCUUGUUUAAAAUUUCUGAGCACACAAAAAAGUACUAUAAUUCAUUACCUGGUGAGUGUGAAGGAGUGAGUGGAGCAUUCUGAAGCCACUAAAAGUAUAUUGGUGCCUAAGUUGCAGAAAAUUUUAUUUUUAAAUUCUAAUUCUUGUGUGAAAUUCAUAUAGGCAACAGGAAGGGCUGUUGUGUAGCAAUACCUAGCCCAAGUCAGGGUGGCUAUUUUUAUGAUUUUUUUUUAUUCUUGUUCGUUGCCUAUUGAAUAUUCUGUUACUGUUAUUUAUGCAUUUUUUUAUUUAAGUAUUUGGAUAUUAGAAAAGUAGAUAAACUACAUAAGGCCAAUUGAAGCACGCUGCAUAAUACUUAUACAUUACAUUUUGUGAUUUUUAUUCCAGAAAUAUAAUAAUAUAUAUAAUAUUUUAACUAACUGGAAUUUGAAGCCAGAUGCUGACCAGAAGUAAGCAAACCCAGGGCAAGUCUGUCAAGUGUUUGCCAUUUUAUAUAUUCACAUUAUGGU
Gopherus flavomarginatus (Mexican gopher tortoise) is the source of this 2641-nucleotide RNA transcript. It is a transcript of the gene named CREB regulated transcription coactivator 1, with no coding region annotated. The transcript is spliced from 15 exons. Lineage: Eukaryota; Metazoa; Chordata; Testudines; Testudinidae. The record is from RefSeq and is a predicted model, not a curated record.